RNAcentral lists this long non-coding RNA (1510 nucleotides) under Gossypium raimondii (Peruvian cotton). RNAcentral describes it as "long non-coding RNA (GRAI_LNC004196)". Lineage: Eukaryota; Viridiplantae; Streptophyta; Magnoliopsida; Malvales; Malvaceae. The record is from RNAcentral.
GGGGGAGCCAUAUUUAGGGUUUUCAAGCUUCCAAGCUCCAUAGUAAGUGAUCCCAAGUCCCGUUUUUAAUGUUCUUUACGUUUUUGAGAUCUCGGUAGCUUAAUUUAGCUUAUUCUAGCAAUAAUUUAACCUAGGGUUUAUAUUUGGAAAAAUACCCAUAGGUGAAAAGUGUUUAUUUUGAUGUUUUAUGAUAGAAUAUGAAGCUAGAAAUUAUGUUAAACAACUUUUGCUAAGCGAUUUUAAGUAAAAACGAGUAAAACGACAUAAUCGGUAAAAAUACCUAAUGUUCAUAAGUACAUGUUAGAGUGGGAAUUUGAUGUUUCCAUAGAAGGGAAAAAUGUUCAGAAUGUUAUAAAACAUAAGAAUAAGAGAUGAAGUUUAAUUUCCGAGCCUUGGGGCAAAAAUGUAAUUAUGUAAAAGUUUAGGGGCAAAAUUGUAAUUUUGAAAAAGUUAGAGUCGAGGGCUGUUUAGAUGAAUGUGAUUAUUAAAUAAGUUAAAUUUACUAUUUUAGAUCAAGAAGUACGAAACUCGAGGGUAGACAAAGGGAAGAAUAAAGUUGAAGACUAAGUUGGUGAAUUUGGCUAUAAUGGGUACCGAGGUAAGUUUACGGUAAAUAAAUGCAAUAUUUCAAUAUUUAUUAUCAAUGCUGUUAAUUUCCAGCAAUUAUGAAUUUAUUUUAUGAAUUUAUUUGAUGAUGAUCCAAGCAUGAGAUGAUAGAGAAUUAAAAUUUAAAAGUCCCGUUGAUACAUAAGGAUGGUACUGGAUACGAAUGUCAUGACAUUUGGGUAAAGAGAUCCCAUGUAAGACCAUGUCUGGGACAUGGCAUUGGCAUCCUUAAGAUCAUGAGAGGCCCUUCUGUAAGACCAUGUCUGGGACAUGGCAUGGGCACCGAGACGAUAGGUCCCAUGUAAGACCAUGUCUGGGACAUGGCGUUGGCACCGAGAUGAGAGGUCCCCUAUAAGACCAUGUCUGGGACAUGGCAUGGGCACCAACAUGAGAACAUCCCAUGUAAGACCAUGUCUGGGACAUGGCUUUGGUAUGUUAUUAUCAGAAGAGACCCGAGUAUCCUUAUUAUUCCAAUGUAGCUCAACGGGCUUGUAAACGAAUCAUGUUCAUGAAAGUUCAGUUUAAAGCAUAAAUGGCAAGCUCAGGUAAGUUGUAAGACUUAAGAACUUAUUAUACUAUCAAUUGAUGUUCAACGAUGCAGCAAGAGUUGAGUAAGUUAUGCACACAAGUAUUCUAAGUAAACAAGUAAGAGAACUAGUAUGAGAUUAACUAAAGAGUAAACUAGAGAUAUAGACAUUGAGUUUAAUUAUUUAAGUUAAAUAUUGUUAUUUAUUUGCUAGUAAACUUACUAAGCUUUAUGCUUACGUUUUUUAUUUCUCUUUCUCUUAUAGUAUUACAAGGCUACUUCAAGGAUCCUAAAGAAGUCGGAGAUCGUCCACACUAUUAACCACAACUGCUCGGUAUUUUAUGUCGAAACACGUUUGAGUUAUGGCAUGUAUAGGGA